GCGCCCGUAGCUCAAUUGGAUAGAGUGUCUGGCUACGGACCAGAAGGUUAGGGGUUCAAAUCCUCUCGGGCGCGCCA
Molecule: transfer RNA, 77 nt
Filed under: bacterium
Lineage: Bacteria
Also listed under: 1 other name
Description: tRNA-Arg
Rfam family: tRNA
About the family: Transfer RNA (tRNA) molecules are approximately 80 nucleotides in length.
Source: RNAcentral